Molecule: long non-coding RNA, 568 nt
Organism: Hevea brasiliensis (rubber tree)
Lineage: Eukaryota; Viridiplantae; Streptophyta; Magnoliopsida; Malpighiales; Euphorbiaceae
Exons: 6
Source: RefSeq, a predicted model, not a curated record
AGAGAGAGAGGAGGUUGCCGAAUAAGGGAAGAAAAAGGAGGAAGGAGAACCACCAUUUUUCAACUUAAAUUUUCACUCCAAAUCAAGUAGUUCCAAAGGAGCAAGGUGGAAGUGUUGACUUAGGAACCAAAUCCACAUAAAUUGGAAAUAAACAGAUGAUACACUGGUGUUUGGAUGGAUGUGAUCUGGAUACCAUGAUAUGUGCGCAUUGAUAUGAUAUGGUCUCUCUCAUGUAAGAGAUAAAGGAUUACAGGCAAGUAGGAGCAGUGCCUGUUGUCACCAAGAUCAGGAGCUAACUUGACUUGAAAAAGAGACUGAGAAGGAAGAUAAGAAAAAAUGAGUCAAGGCCUAGAGGUGACUCAUUCCAGAUAAGGGAAAAGAAAAAGCAGCAAAGUGAGCUGCUAAGUUGACAAAGACUCCACUGAAGUUUUUGUAUGGGUAUUAUUUUAUGCCCAUGUAAUUUAGUUUGAUGUAAAUAUGAUAUUGUUUAAAUGUAUCUAUGUAGGAAAUGAGCAGUUGUACACUUAAAUCUGUAAUAAUAUUAUUUUUGAAUUUUGUUUCUGUAUAU